UGUAAACACGCCGGAGCGCGCGGGCCGCCACGUGCGGAGCCGGAGCCAUGCGCCGGGCGACGAGCAGCUCGUGCAGCCCGGGAGGCCGCGCACGGGAAGGUGGCCCCUGGAUGAGCCCAACUUUCCUGACUGACCACUUCGCUCUGGACACUGACGGCUUGCAUCUCCCACUGCAAGCUCUUCACUGCAUAUGUCUGGUACCUGCCCGUACUGGGCAGGGAAUAAAAAUUCAACUGACAGCCAGCAUAUACAGAAGACCAUGGGACUGAGCAGCUACUAGUUCUUGGACUUGCCAUUCACAACUAGCCAUUGUUGGACUGCAGCCUUACCCACAGAGGCCAGAAGAUGGCGUCAUCCCCACGGGCUGGAGUUGCAGUUAGGCGCUGCCAUAUGGAUACUAUAAAUUGAAUAUGGGUCAUCUGAAAGAGCAGCCAGUGCUCUUAACUGAGCCAUCUCUCUAGUGCCUAAUCAUGUAAAAUUCUUGAAUGGAUUCCUCAGAGAUUCAAUCAGUGUUAGUAGGGAAGAAUUUUUAAGAACUGAAGAAAUCUGCUUAAAGCAACGGUAAAGCAAUUAAAUUGCCAUCACCUACAAACAAGGUCUAUCUAAUUUUCAUUGGGAUGCCAAAAUACACUUAACUCAGCAAAAUAAUGUCUUUCAAAAAAGUGCCACUUGAAGCCCCAGCUUAUGCCUGGUAUUACAUGACUGUAUUAAAACAUGACUUUUAAUUUGGUACAAGUAAGAGGAGUAUUUAGCCUUUCUAAAGUACGUCUAUAUAAUACUGAGACUUAAGAGGGCAGCAAUUCUGGAAAGGUUAGCAUUGCCCGGGUUUAGUUUUUAUUCAUGGGAACAAGCUACAUACAGUGGUCCAGUGGAGUCAUGGCCUGAAAUAUCCAAGAGGAGCACAUAGGAUGGCGGUGAAGUACUCCAAAGGGUCCAGAGAAGGCAUAAGUCAGUGGCUGCUCUCACAAUGUGGUUUGCUAUUAUUACAGAGCAUGUUUCACUGACAUGCAUUGACUGACUGGCCAGACUAAGCAGAUGAAAUGGAGAGGAAGACUUGGUUUUCAUAGGUGACAAUCGUCUGAGAUGUAUGCUGAAAAUGUUCUCUUGGUGAAGGCCACAGAAUCUUUGAAGGUUGAUUUGUGACAUACAAUCUUCACUGACUUACCUCCCCUGAGCUUACUGGGCCCUCACCCAUCUGCCAUUCAGAGCCCCCCUGCCAUUUUGGACUGACAUACAACAGACAUCACUGCAAUGUGAAAUCUGAGGAAAGCUGUUAGAACAAAUACUUGGAUUUUCUAGGUUGAGCACCACUUAAUGUGAUUUAGCUAACAUGUGGAAGAAAAUAAAUUUUUGAAGUGUAUUUUAGGUGAAUUUGAUACCCUAAAUAAUUUAUUCUACAGUAUAUCAGAAUGUAUUCUAAUAUACUUAUCAGAAAUACCAGUCUUUUUAUUUCCCUCCAGUAGCAUAAUUUUGUAAGUGAGAUGGCUCUCUAUUAUACAACUGAGCUAUGCUACAACCAAUAACCUUACAAAACUCAACACAGACCUACAUGCUGCAAUUAUAACCCUGACUGUGAUAACUUAAGUAAAUUUCCAACACAAUCACUUUAUACUUCUAAAGCCAUAGCUUUGUACUGUAUAGAAAUAACAUUUUUGCUUAGCAGACUGUUUGUGCAAAGAGUAAAGUGCUUGCAACGUACCUGGGGCUGCUUGAGUUGUCUUCUUCAUUUCCACAGCUGGCCUCACUAAGGCCAGGGCAGGAACUGUGCACAGCAUAGACAGACAUGCUGGGAUGCUCAAUGAGAAGGUUUUCCAUAGGACUUGUUUCCACCUUGACAGUGGGUAAUCCACCUGCCGUAAAACAUGGGGGAGGGGUGAUGAACCAGCUCUCCUCCAGUGGACAGGACUCAAACUGGAGGAAGCAGGAAUCGCUGGUAUCAGCCAGACACUCCAGAGACGCAGGUAAACAGAAGACUGACGUGUGCUCUGCUGGGGACUCUUCAUUGAUGUCAUCCUCGUCUUCCUCUUCCUCUGCUGAGAAACUAGUGCAAGUAUCUAAAUUGUGAUCCACAUAGCACACAGGAGGAUGAGCAGUCAGUGGUGGUAGUCACCAUGAAGUUCACAACAGAAAAAAGAAAAAAUACUGUAUUAACAGAUGCUUACAAAAGCAGUAUUCACUUGUAGCAGUUAUAAAUUAAUUUCCAACUUGUCUAUAGUUAUACUGGCAUUAAGGAAUGACUUUAGGACUUUAUAUUCUGGCAAAUAAACAUUGUAAGUCUCGUGGGUUCCUGUUCAUAUGAGGGUUUCCCAUUAAAAUAUCUUUGCUUAGACCAGG
Mesocricetus auratus (golden hamster) is the source of this 2334-nucleotide long non-coding RNA. RefSeq lists it as uncharacterized. Lineage: Eukaryota; Metazoa; Chordata; Mammalia; Rodentia; Cricetidae. The transcript has 4 exons. The record is from RefSeq and is a predicted model, not a curated record.